GACGAACGCUGGCGGCGUGCUUAACACAUGCAAGUCGAACGGAAAGGCCCUGCUUUUGUGGGGUGCUCGAGUGGCGAACGGGUGAGUAACACGUGAGUAACCUGCCCUUGACUUUGGGAUAACGUCAGGAAACUGGGGCUAAUACCGGAUAGGAGCUCCUGCUGCAUGGUGGGGGUUGGAAAGUUUCGGCGGUUGGGGAUGGACUCGCGGCUUAUCAGCUUGUUGGUGGGGUAGUGGCUUACCAAGGCUUUGACGGGUAGCCGGCAUGAGAGGGUGACCGGCCACAUUGGGACUGAGAUACGGCCCAGACUCCUACGGGAGGCAGCAGUGGGGAAUAUUGCACAAUGGGCGGAAGCCUGAUGCAGCGACGCCGCGUGCGGGAUGACGGCCUUCGGGUUGUAAACCGCUUUCGCCUGUGACGAAGCGUGAGUGACGGUAAUGGGUAAAGAAGCACCGGCUAACUACGUG
RNAcentral lists this ribosomal RNA (468 nucleotides) under uncultured bacterium. Its description in RNAcentral is "partial 16S ribosomal RNA". It matches the Rfam family "Bacterial small subunit ribosomal RNA", at positions 28 to 507 of the family's 1533-position model. The record is from RNAcentral.